This 253-nucleotide ribosomal RNA is filed under the name uncultured bacterium. RNAcentral's name for it is "partial 16S ribosomal RNA". It matches the Rfam family "Bacterial small subunit ribosomal RNA", at positions 524 to 776 of the family's 1533-position model. The record is from RNAcentral.
UACGUAGGGUGCAAGCGUUGUCCGGAUUUAUUGGGCGUAAAGAGCGUGUAGGCGGUUAGGUAGGUCCGUUGUGAAAACUCGAGGCUCAACCUCGAGACGCCGAUGGAAACCCCCUAACUAGAGUCCGGAAGAGGAGAGUGGAAUUCCUGGUGUAGCGGUGAAAUGCGCAGAUAUCAGGAAGAACACCCGUGGCUAAGGCGGCUCUCUAGUACGGUACUGACGCUGAGACGCGAAAGCGUGGGGAGCGAACAGG